GAUGAACGCUGGCGGCGUGCCUAAUACAUGCAAGUCGAGCGAACAGACGAGGAGCUUGCUCCUCUGACGUUAGCGGCGGACGGGUGAGUAACACGUGGAUAACCUACCUAUAAGACUGGGAUAACUUCGGGAAACCGGAGCUAAUACCGGAUAAUAUAUUGAACCGCAUGGUUCAAUAGUGAAAGACGGUUUUGCUGUCACUUAUAGAUGGAUCCGCGCCGCAUUAGCUAGUUGGUAAGGUAACGGCUUACCAAGGCGACGAUGCGUAGCCGACCUGAGAGGGUGAUCAGCCACACUGGAACGGAGACACGGUCCAGACUCCUACGGGAGGCAGCAUUAGGGAAUCUUCCGCAAAGGGCGAAAGCCUGACGGAGCAACGCCACGUGAGUGAUGAAGGUCUUCGGAUCGUAAAACUCUGUUAUUAGGGAAGAACAAAUGUGUAAGUAACUAUGCACGUCUUGACGGUACCUAAUCAGAAAGCCACGGCUAACUACGUG
Molecule: ribosomal RNA, 497 nt
Filed under: uncultured bacterium
Lineage: Bacteria
Description: partial 16S ribosomal RNA
Rfam family: Bacterial small subunit ribosomal RNA
Source: RNAcentral